Molecule: ribosomal RNA, 253 nt
Filed under: uncultured bacterium
Lineage: Bacteria
Description: partial 16S ribosomal RNA
Rfam family: Bacterial small subunit ribosomal RNA
Source: RNAcentral
UACGAAGGGUGCAAGCGUUACUCGGAAUUACUGGGCGUAAAGCGUGCGUAGGUGGUUCGUUAAGUCUGUCGUGAAAGCCCCGGGCUCAACCUGGGAAUGGCGAUGAAUACUGGCGGGCUAGAGUGCGGUAGAGGAGAGUGGAAUUCCUGGUGUAGCGGUGAAAUGCGCAGAUAUCAGGAGGAACACCAGCGGCGAAGGCGGCGCUCUGGGCCGGUACUGACGCUGAGGAGCGAAAGCGUGGGUAGCAAACAGG